This is a long non-coding RNA of Micropterus dolomieu (smallmouth bass), 1128 nucleotides long. RefSeq lists it as uncharacterized. The record is from RefSeq and is a predicted model, not a curated record. Lineage: Eukaryota; Metazoa; Chordata; Actinopteri; Centrarchiformes; Centrarchidae. The transcript is spliced from 2 exons.
UGGACAUUUACAAUGAUGAGGAGCUGAUUCAGAGGUUUCGAUUUUGUCGGAGAGAUAUAUAUGAACUUGUUGAAGAGCUGUCACCCGACUCACAGUUUGUGUCGGAUCACAACGCAGCAUUGACACCUGCAUUACAGCUGUUAAUAGCGCUACGUUUUUAUGCAAAUGGUGCGUUUCAAAACACUGUUGGAGACACGAUUAAUGUCCACAAAUCCACCGCAUGUCGGGCCAUCUGCAGAGUGUCACUGGCACUGAGCCGUCGCCUUCCACGAUCUGCUCACCUCCCCACUGAGGCCAAGUCUGCGGUGAUGAAACACCGAUUCCUCCGGGCCUCUGGCAUUCCUGGUAUUGUGGGCUGCAUCGAUGGGACUCACAUCCGGAUCCAGGCACCAUCUGAGCAUGAGUAUCUAUGGCCUGGAUCUACCCAUGACGCACGCAUCCUCCGAGAGAGUGCGUUAUACCAGGAUUUCGAGGCUGGAAGAGUAAAUGGGCUGCUUCUCGGUGACAGUGGAUACCCACUGAAACACUGGCUGAUGACUCCUAUAAUUGCUCCGAGGACUGAGCAAGAACGACGGUAUAACACCAUCCACACCACCACUAGGUCCCUCGUUGAGCGGUGCAUCGGAGUCCUCAAGCGCAGGUAAAAUUCUUUCCGCGUGUCUGUGCCGCUAUCCAUGGUGCUGAUAUAGUGUGGUCACUAGAUCACUGAAAACUAUAUAAAUAGACUAGGCCUAGGCUAUAUAAAACUCGCCAAACGUGACACAUUUAGGUUUUACAAUAGCCUAAUCAUUAAUUCUUUUUUCUAGGUUUCAUUGUCUUCAUGGAGAGAUGCGGAUGCACCCUGAGCGAGUCUGCAUCGUAAUAGCAGCGUGCACUGUCCUCCACAACAUCUGUGUCACCAAGAGGAUCCCUCUCCCUAGGCAACACCAUCAGCCGGUGCCGGAGGAAGGUGCCGACCCUGUGGACCAUGCAGGGCAUGAAGAUGUCGGUGGACGACUAGUCCGUACACGUAUUAUUAAUGCUUUAUAAAUGUUGUAAACUAUUGCUUCACUUAAAAUAAUUCUGCCAUAAAAAAUAAGCCACAAAGAAAGUCCAGUAGGUUUAUAAUAAACUCUUUUUUAAUUUACA